Chelonoidis abingdonii (Abingdon island giant tortoise) is the source of this 565-nucleotide non-coding RNA. The record is from RefSeq and is a predicted model, not a curated record. Lineage: Eukaryota; Metazoa; Chordata; Testudines; Testudinidae.
AGUGUCUCUGGUUCACACCCGGACCCACCGCGACCAGCCGGAGCGCUGGAGCCCAGCCCGCUGCCGGAGCCACUGGGAGAGCUGCCGCGCAGCCCGCACCUUGCCAAAGCCCCCCCCGGGCAGCGGUGCCCAGAGCGCGCGUGGCUCCGCUCCAGGGGGAGGUGUUAGGCGCUAACCACCCCCUCCACCCAGCCCUGAUCACCUGCCAGCUCGCACUGCAGCAGGGCAGACGCUCCCAUCCCGAGCGCCCGCUAAAGCCCAAACCCUCCGUGGGAUGCUGCGGAAAUGCCCUGGAGCGAGGGGCGCGUCAGAGGCCGUGACAUUGGAGGAGGUGAGGUCAGGGAAUCAGAGUCACCACAUUCAACUGAAGCUGCAGGUGGAAUUUAGCCUGCAGAAGCCAAAUGGUGCAGCAAUUGACAAGAGCAGAGGCUGUGCCCAUCCCCAUAAUGCUAAACAAGGAGAGGUCCCUGCUAGAACCUGGCUAGUGAGCCCACUAUGCUUGAGAAGCACCUUACUUAACCCUCAGCCCACAGAAGUGAAAUAAAGGAGGGACUGAAUAUAAACA